Molecule: ribosomal RNA, 474 nt
Filed under: uncultured bacterium
Lineage: Bacteria
Description: bacterial SSU rRNA
Rfam family: Bacterial small subunit ribosomal RNA
Source: RNAcentral
CUGGCUCAGGAUUAACGCUGGCGGCGUGCCUAAUACAUGCAAGUCGAAUGGUUAGCUUGCUAACCAUGGCGAACGGGUGAGUAACACGUAGGCAACCUGUCUAAGAGACGAGGAUAACCAUUGGAAACGAUGGAUAAUACUGGAUAGGAUAUGAUAAGGCAUCUUAUUAUAUUCAAAGAUUUAUCACUGUUAGAGGGGCCUGCGGCGCAUUAGCUAGUUGGUGAGGUAGGGGCCCACCAAGGCGAUGAUGCGUAGCCGGACUGAGAGGUUGAACGGCCACAAUGGGACUGAGAACGGCCCAUACUCCUACGGGAGGCAGCAGUAGGGAAUUUUCGGCAAUGGAACGAAAGUCUGACCGAGCAACGCCGCGUGAACGAAGAAGUAUUUCGGUAUGUAAAGUUCUUUUGUUUGGGAAGAAAAUAAAUUGACGGUACCAAACGAAUAAGCUCCGGCUAACUACGUGCCAGCCGCAGC